GGCCUCGUGGUCUAGUGGUAUGAUUCUCGCUUCGGGUGCGAGAGGUCCCGGGCUCGAUUCCAGGUGAGGCCC
Phytophthora infestans T30-4 is the source of this 72-nucleotide transfer RNA. It matches the Rfam family "tRNA". Rfam says of the family: Transfer RNA (tRNA) molecules are approximately 80 nucleotides in length. Their secondary structure includes four short double-helical elements and three loops (D, anti-codon, and T loops). NCBI's taxonomy places the organism in Eukaryota, Oomycota, Peronosporomycetes, Peronosporales, Peronosporaceae. The record is from Rfam.